CGCUCUACCAAUCCGACUGCUCACUGGGCGAUUCAACAAGUCAAAUCGGCCCAAAUGAAUGCCGACGGCUCCUCCUCCGACUGACGACGGCACGGAACAUACCGAACAGACUCGGGUCACCGACCUUGCCAGAUUGUCCGAUGGCUGAUAAUCGGGUUGGUGUGUCAGCGCCUUUACUAUCCUCACUG
Molecule: long non-coding RNA, 188 nt
Organism: Sander lucioperca (pikeperch)
Lineage: Eukaryota; Metazoa; Chordata; Actinopteri; Perciformes; Percidae
Exons: 3
Source: RefSeq, a predicted model, not a curated record